Molecule: ribosomal RNA, 468 nt
Filed under: uncultured bacterium
Lineage: Bacteria
Description: partial 16S ribosomal RNA
Rfam family: Bacterial small subunit ribosomal RNA
Source: RNAcentral
GACGAACGCUGGCGGCGUGCUUAACACAUGCAAGUCGAACGGAAAGGCCCUGCUUUUGUGGGGUGCUCGAGUGGCGAACGGGUGAGUAACACGUGAGUAACCUGCCCUUGACUUUGGGAUAACUUCAGGAAACUGGGGCUAAUACCGGAUAGGAGCUCCUGCUGCAUGGUGGGGGUUGGAAAGUUUCGGCGGUUGGGGAUGGACUCGCGGCUUAUCAGCUUGUUGGUGGGGUAGUGGCUUACCAAGGCGUUGACGGGUAGCCGGCCUGAGAGGGUGACCGGCCACAUUGGGACUGAGAUACGGCCCAGACUCCUACGGGAGGCAGCAGUGGGGAAUAUUGCACAAUGGGAGGAAGCCUGAUGAAGCAACGCCGCGUGCGGGAUGACGGCCUUCGGGUUGUAAAACGCUUUCGCCUGUGACGAAGCGUGAGUGACGGUAAUGGGUAAAGAAGCACCGGCUAACUACGUG